RNAcentral lists this ribosomal RNA (402 nucleotides) under Bacteroidota bacterium. RNAcentral describes it as "Bacteroidetes bacterium partial 16S ribosomal RNA". It matches the Rfam family "Bacterial small subunit ribosomal RNA", at positions 355 to 776 of the family's 1533-position model. The record is from RNAcentral. Lineage: Bacteria; Pseudomonadati; Bacteroidota.
UGGGGAAUUUUGCACAAUGGGGGAAACCCUGAUGCAGCGACGCCGCGUGAUUUAGAAGGCCUUCGGGUUGUAAAAAUCUUUUCUAUGGGAAGAAAAUGACAGUACCAUAGGAAUAAGGACCGGCUAAUUACGUGCCAGCAGCCGCGGUAAUACGUAAGGUCCGAGCGUUGUCCGGAAUCAUUGGGCGUAAAGGGUACGUAGGCGGGUAAGCAAGUUAGAAGUGAAAUCCUGUAGCUCAACUACAGUAAGCUUUUAAAACUGCUCAUCUUGAGUUAUGGAAGGGAAAGUGGAAUUCCUAGUGUAGCGGUGAAAUGCGCAGAUAUUAGGAGGAAUACCGGUGGCGAAGGCGACUUUCUGGCCAUAAUCUGACGCUGAGGUACGAAAGCGUGGGUAGCAAACAGG